This 22-nucleotide non-coding RNA is filed under the name Arabidopsis thaliana (thale cress). The record is from RNAcentral. Lineage: Eukaryota; Viridiplantae; Streptophyta; Magnoliopsida; Brassicales; Brassicaceae.
CAUCAUGGUAAGUCUCGAGUGA